This 301-nucleotide ribosomal RNA is filed under the name uncultured bacterium. RNAcentral's name for it is "partial 16S ribosomal RNA". It matches the Rfam family "Bacterial small subunit ribosomal RNA", at positions 509 to 807 of the family's 1533-position model. The record is from RNAcentral.
CAGCAGCCACGGUAAUCCGUAGGUGGCAAGCGUUGUCCGGAAUUAUUGGGCGUAAAGGGCUCGCAGGCGGUUUCUUAAGUCUGAUGUGAAAGCCCCCGGCUCAACCGGGGAGGGUCAUCGGAAACUGGGAAACUUGAGUGCAGAAGAGGAGAGUGGAAUUCCACGUGUAGCGGUGAAAUGCGUAGAGAUGUGGAGGAACACCAGUGGCGAAGGCGACUCUCUGGUCUGUAACUGACGCUGAGGAGCGAAAGCGUGGGGAGCGAACAGGAUUAGAUACCCGCGUAGUCCCUGUCUCUUAUAC